This is a non-coding RNA of Pelobates cultripes (western spadefoot toad), 343 nucleotides long. NCBI's taxonomy places the organism in Eukaryota, Metazoa, Chordata, Amphibia, Anura, Pelobatidae. The record is from the annotation of a GenBank genome assembly.
UCUCAGGAUCUGCCAGAUGUCUGCCAGAGAGUGGGGAAGAGAAGGGACCGGCACAGGGCCCCCCUCCAUCCCCUACCUAUUAGUGAAGAUCCGUUCGGCAGUGUAGUUGUCGACAUUAUAGUUGCGCAGGCACUUUGGUGACUAUAGAGAACCUCAGGCCUAUCACACGUCCCCGUGACGGCGACUUUGCAUUCGAAUGUCUGCCCUAUCAACUUAUGAUGCCACUUCUGCGCCUACCAUGGUGACCACGGGUAACGGGGAAUCAGGGUUCGAUUCCGGAAAGGGAACCUGAGAAACGGCUACCACAUCCAAGGAAGGCAUCAGGUGCGCAAAUUAGUGAAGA